Molecule: ribosomal RNA, 495 nt
Filed under: uncultured bacterium
Lineage: Bacteria
Description: bacterial SSU rRNA
Rfam family: Bacterial small subunit ribosomal RNA
Source: RNAcentral
GAUCAUGGCUCAGAUUGAACGCUGGCGGCAUGCCUUACACAUGCAAGUCGAACGGCAGCACGGGCAACCUGGUGGCGAGUGGCGAACGGGUGAGUAAUGCAUCGGAACGUGCCAUUGAGUGGGGGGUAACGUAGCGAAAGUUACGCUAAUACCGCAUAUUCUGUGAGCAGGAAAGCAGGGGAUCGCAAGACCUUGCGCUCUUUGAGCGGCCGAUGUCAGAUUAGCUAGUUGGUGAGGUAACGGCUUACCAAGGCGACGAUCUGUAGCGGGUCUGAGAGGAUGAUCCGCCACACUGGAACUGAGACACGGUCCAGACUCCUACGGGAGGCAGCAGUGGGGGAAUUUUGGACAAUGGGGGCAACCCUGAUCCAGCCAUGCCGCGUGAGUGAAGAAGGCCUUCGGGUUGUAAAGCUCUUUCGGCCGGGAAGAAAUCGCAUGGGUUAAUACCCUGUGUGGAUGACGGUACCGGCAUAAGAAGCACCGGCUAACUACGUG